CACCUCCCCCUUUCGAUGGCAAUGAUCCUCCAACUACUAAUUGAUUAAACAUUUGAUAUUUUAGAUAUAUAUAAUGUACUUUUAUAAGUAUAUGAAGAAUUUUUAUUGUAUGAUAUUUCAUAUGUUUUAAUGCACUUGAUGUUAAACUUUAGAUCUUGAAUAUAUAAUUGGUUGAAUAUUAAGAGAUGAAUCUCUAUAUUUUGUUUCGUUAAAUUUGAUAUUCAU
This 225-nucleotide long non-coding RNA is filed under the name Elaeis guineensis (African oil palm). RNAcentral describes it as "long non-coding RNA (EGUI_LNC017280)". The record is from RNAcentral. Lineage: Eukaryota; Viridiplantae; Streptophyta; Magnoliopsida; Arecales; Arecaceae.